RNAcentral lists this long non-coding RNA (372 nucleotides) under Physcomitrium patens. RNAcentral's name for it is "long non-coding RNA (PPAT_LNC002687)". Lineage: Eukaryota; Viridiplantae; Streptophyta; Bryopsida; Funariales; Funariaceae. The record is from RNAcentral.
GUAUUAUGUGCUUUCUUGCUCGAGAAUGCGUCGGGCGUCUGGCUAUAGAAGGUAGUAUGGAGAUUCGCCAAUAGUCAAGUAGUCUAUCAGUUUUUGACUGCUAGAAUAUAAACGACUGCAAGAAUACAUCGUAAAUCUAUAUGGAUGCCCUUCGACUGCUUGUCAAAGUCUUUUUUGCCCCAGCCGGUAGGUCUCUAGAUGUUACAGAGAACCCCAAACAACCCAAUCUGCUAAUCUCCGAUACCGCUUUGUACUUACAAUCUUGUAUCCAUUGAUUGUCUUGUUAGAUUAAUCCAAUAAAUUUCAUUCACUCCACAUACUCAAUCCUAUAGACACCCUUUUAAUCCUUCAAUCACAGACGUAACUCGAUUU